This 253-nucleotide ribosomal RNA is filed under the name uncultured bacterium. RNAcentral describes it as "partial 16S ribosomal RNA". It matches the Rfam family "Bacterial small subunit ribosomal RNA", at positions 524 to 776 of the family's 1533-position model. The record is from RNAcentral.
GACGUAGGAGGCGAGCGUUGUCCGGAUUCAUUGGGCGUAAAGGGCGCGCAGGCGGCCCGGAAAGUCGGAUGUGAAAACUCGAGGCUCAACCUCGAGCGUGCACCCGAUACUGCCGGGCUUGAGGCAGGUAGGGGAGAUCGGAAUUCCUGGUGUAGCGGUGAAAUGCGCAGAUAUCAGGAGGAACACCGGUGGCGAAGGCGGAUCUCUGGGCAGUUCCUGACACUGAGGCACGAAGGCCAGGGGAGCAAACGGG